ACCAGCCACCGCUUCUCCAGGUGGGUCCUUCCAGCCUGUUCGCAUCCUCGGUGUGGAAACCGUCAUCUUUUGUAACCAGCGAUUAGCAUCAUUAGGGCCUCCUUCCAAUCUUCUUUAUGUAUGGCGAUACGCAUGACAGGGUUUGGUACUAAUCCUGUACUACGAUGUGUGAAAACAAGUGAUCUUCAGCUUCUCCUCCAGAUCCUGACAAGAACAUCCGUGGAUCGAUCUGCUCGGCCAACAAGCAGCUUCUCCUCCCCUCCAUAGAAGCAUGUCUCUGGACUGAUCCUCCAUACAAGCACACCCCUAGAUUGAUCUGUCGGGCCAACAAAGAGGUUGUUCCGCUGCUUGCCGAUCUCAGUUGUUAAGUGCAGGCUAUUUCCCUCAUCCAGCAGUAGGCAUUCCAAUUUCUUCACUAUUCAAUUAUCAAUUUCCAACCAAUUUCAGUAUCCUAGAUCUGUCUGCUCCUUUUCCCCUUUACGUCAGUUUGAAUUAGCAUACUAUAAUCACUCCCUUCAAUAUCUUCACAGAUUAAUUAAUUGCUUUGAUUUUGCCAUGGGUUUAAUUGUUAUUGGAUUGUACUACUAUUGGGGGAAAUUUCUUUGAUGGUAAUACAUAACACUAGAAUCCUUUUUUAUUGCUAAUUAUACAAUUUCUAUAUUACGCUCCUUUGUUUUUCCCCUUUUUAAUUCAUUUUGUAAUCAUUCAGGUCACCUUUGCAUCUGUCAAACAACUUUAUAUUUUUAUGUUAGUUUUUGUAUUCGAUAAUGUAGCGCUGGAAACUCUUUUUAUCCGCAGCUCAUUUGUAAACAUGCAUGAUCUAUCUCGAUGACAUGAAAAUGACUGCAGAUUAUUCCCAAUUUAUCAAAUGGUUGGUGAUCCUUUAGUCAGCUGUGUGAUUCAGUGAAGUAAUGAUUGGGAUGAAUUUUUUUUUAUCAUAUGCAACACGGUGUUCUCAUAUAGAUGUUACUUUAUGAUCCUUCAGACUUUGCUAAUUCUUUAUAUAACGAUCAAUAAUGGAAAGUUACAGUUUUUUAGGUCACUGUCUCCUUUGAUUUUCAUUACCAAUAUUAUCUGACCUGGGUUCACAAUUUCAGUAAUAAUAGUAUGAUCUCAAAAUUCUUGAAUUAAUUACUGUUUAUUUACCUUAAGUUUAUAUAUAUUGAUUCAUCUAUUAUGUUUAUUGACCAAUAUUCCUGUUUGUUUUUUUAGAAAUGAUGGUGUUCUUGAGACUUCCAUCUGUGAUACACAUAUAUAAUAGGGAAGUAUCGAGUAUUUUCAACAUUGUUCUUCUUGCCCAAUAGAUUUGGAACCUAAACUUUGAUC
Molecule: small RNA, 1326 nt
Filed under: Oryza sativa Japonica Group (Japanese rice)
Lineage: Eukaryota; Viridiplantae; Streptophyta; Magnoliopsida; Poales; Poaceae
Description: sRNA Os10g0122701
Source: RNAcentral